CCUACGGGGGGCAGCAGUGGGGAAUAUUGCACAAUGGGGGAAACCCUGAUGCAGCGACGCCGCGUGAAGGAAGAAGGUCUUCGGAUCGUAAACUUCUAUCAGCAGGGAAGAAGAAAGUGACGGUACCUGAAUAAGAAGCCCCGGCUAACUACGUGCCCGCAGCCGCGGUAAUACGUAGGGGGCAAGCGUUAUCCGGAAUCACUGGGUGUACAGGGUGCGUAGGCGGUAGGGCAAGUCAGAUGUGAAAGCCCGGAGCUUAACUCCGGGAUUGCAUUUGAAACUGUCUUACUAGAGUGCAGGAGAGGUACGCGGAAUUCCUAGAGUAGCGGUGAAAUGCGUAGAUAUUAGGAAGAACGCCAGUGGCGAAGGCGGCUUUCUGGACUGUAGCUGACGCUGAGGCACGAAAGCGUGGGGAGCGAACAGGAUUAGAUACCCCUGUAGUC
RNAcentral lists this ribosomal RNA (443 nucleotides) under uncultured bacterium. RNAcentral's name for it is "bacterial SSU rRNA". It matches the Rfam family "Bacterial small subunit ribosomal RNA", at positions 338 to 795 of the family's 1533-position model. The record is from RNAcentral.